This 392-nucleotide long non-coding RNA is filed under the name Equus caballus (horse). Its description in RNAcentral is "lncRNA (ENSECAG00000052861.1)". Lineage: Eukaryota; Metazoa; Chordata; Mammalia; Perissodactyla; Equidae. The record is from RNAcentral.
GGGAAAGUAAUAGCAAAGCUGUUAACUGUGGAGCUGAGAUGGAAGCCACGGUGAAGGCACUGAAGUUCAAGGAGAUGAAGUGAGUUACCUAAAAUCAACUCAUCGUCAGUUCCAGAGCCGGAACCAUGACCCAGACUUACUCCAACCCCCUUCCACUAUAAUGUGUAAAUUCAAGGGAAAAUUUCAUUUAAUUAAUUUAUUUAAUUAAGGCAGCUUCCUUCCCCCAACCCUAUAGAGCAACCCAAAACCCCACUUAAGCAGAAUUAACCAAACUAGUUCAAACCUAAUCCAGUUAAUGAAUCACCAGCUAAAAUUCUCCUCUACACUCCACACGUCAUGCAGGUCCACUGUGCCCACUGGAGUAGAAUAGUGACCAUGGUGAGCUCACUUCC